RNAcentral lists this ribosomal RNA (253 nucleotides) under uncultured bacterium. RNAcentral's name for it is "partial 16S ribosomal RNA". It matches the Rfam family "Bacterial small subunit ribosomal RNA", at positions 524 to 776 of the family's 1533-position model. The record is from RNAcentral.
UACGUAGGUGGCGAGCGUUGUCCGGAUUUACGGGGCGUAAAGAGCGCGCAGGCGGUCGAUUUAGUCGUGUGUGAAAGCCCCCGGCUCAACUGGGGAGGGUCACGCGAUACUGAUCGACUCGAAGGCAGGAGAGGGUAGUGGAAUUCCCGGUGUAGUGGUGAAAUGCGUAGAUAUCGGGAGGAACACCAGUGGCGAAGGCGACUACCUGGCCUGUUCUUGACGCUGAGGCGCGAAAGCUAGGGGAGCAAACGGG